GCAAAGAAUAUCCAAGACGAUAACCAGUUUUAGAUACGCACGAAAUGGAAUGCGCAUCUAAUGUAAAUGAGGAUUAUGGAGCCGAGACCAAAUUGGUGAAAAAGACCCGAUACGAAGACGAGAGUGAAAAGUACGACAUGCCUAACACCAGAUCGAAAAGUGUCACCCGUGGAUCUUGUGCUGGCAAUUCGUGUACAACGUCAUCGGAUAUAUCUCCUAUUGCUGGGCCGUCUGGUUAUCGUCUUGGAUAUUCUUUGCGAUCCAUGUCCGGUAACAGAAAUCCAGUGGCCUCCCUUGGGGAAUCAAACUGUGAAAUUUCCAAAGAAGUUCUGGGUGGAGGGACUCAUGCCAGGAUUCUCAUUUUGAGUCUGCUGUGGGUUUUGGUUGGCAAUUCCUUGAAGGAAUUGCAUGGCUGCAUCGGCGAUGGUCCUUAUUAUAGGUUGUGACAGCAAAUCUUGAAUGUCUUUUAAACCGUCCAUUUUGGACGAGAAUAAAACAUCUAACUAUUACGUUGUUUCAAGUAAACGUUACGUCACCAUGCGUUUAAUGGUGGUUUUUCUCGUGUGGCGCUAUUGUUGGGACGGCGCCACCGUCGCUAUCAGCUGAAAAAACCAAUAAUUUCACGAAGUGAAGAUCUCCAAUUUUUAUCAGCUGCCAUCGUCAGCCCAGAUGGUCUUCCUUUUUAAGUGACUUCAAAGUUGCUCCAACACAUGGUGAGCCCACCAUCAAUGUGACUGAUCUAAGGACUAAAACAUAUGUAUCCAUAUUGACUGGAAAUCCUCAUACCCCUUGGUGCAUUGCUUGCCAUCUUCAUUGAAAUAUCGUCCUAGAAACAGGAUGUCUUGGAGGCAAGUGUCUGAAGUUUGUGUUUGGGGCUUGUCUGUAAGAGUGGGAGAAAAAUGUGGUUAGCAGCAACCACAGAAGUAAACACAGUGAUUACUUCACUUCUUGUAUUUCUGGGAUUGGGAUAUUCCCCAUUUGCCAAAUAACUUACAGCCAAUAAGAAGCAGAAACUCUGGUAUAUUCUUCUUUAUCUAUCACUCAUCCAACCAAUAGCCUCCCCUUACAUGAAUAUGUCAGUUUUGACCCUUUGUGUAAUUUGUUACUUGCUAGAAUAUCCAGCACUUGUGGCAUAUCUGACUUUGUGUCUGGUGUAACAAGUGGCCCUUUAACAUUAUGAAUUCCUUCUCGAGUUCUGAAUCCUAUACUGUACCGACUCGAGUGCAAUUAACGCAACCUUCUAAGCCGUUAUCAAUCAUGAUUUACGGAAAUACGAAAGACUACGAGUUCGUUAUCAGGAACUACGCCUUCGCGAUGCAGAACUGGAACUUAACGCCUCGGCUGUAGUCAGUGGACCAGCAGCAGCAGCAACAAUAACAACAACUUCCUUUCAUAUUAAUAGCGAAGUGCAUACACUUCUGUCGCUCCAACUCCUGCUAGCGUUCCUUUCGCUUCCAUAGUUGAACCGUCCAUAAGUAACCGUAGCCGCUCCCACCCCCUUCUGUUGAAUCAAAUAUAUUGAACGCCUAUCCGUCCAGCGACAGCUUCUGGCGCACGCUGAUGAACGCGGCCGAGAAUCUGAGAUCAGUUUUUUCGUCCCUUGAUGGAAUGGCUAGAGUCUCGUUUCCGACUUCAGCGUUAGCCAAUGAGUAUAUUGACCCAGCUGAACGAAGCCAGCCGCUGUAGCCAACCGCAUUGGUACAAGUAACGAAACAUUAAUCGCUUCAUAAGGACCGCAGUUUUUUGCCUGAUAAUUUAUUUUACAGGCUUCUGUGAAGAUGGUAUUUGUUUCAAGUGGUUAAUGUGAAGGUAAAUAACAUGGGUUAACGGCGGUGGAAGCAGUAUUCACUCCCAGCUCUCAACAGCCAUAGCGUUAUCAGCGACCAAAAACGAACUCUUUAUCUUCUCUUUCUUAUUGACGUUUUAAUAUGAUGGAAUGAAUUUGACAUAAUUUAACAACGGCACUUUUCACAAUCAUCAACAAACUUUACGAAGCAUGCCAAAAUUGUUAGGUUAGUGCAGCACCCUUACUUUUUAUCAAAAAAUUGUAGCGCCACACCCAUCUGCGCUGAAGAUUUGUAAACGGAAAGCGGAAUUGCCUUGUGAAACUCAAUAUCUAUUCCUCUUUAUUUACUAUGGCCAUAUCUAAACAAAAUCACAUGGCGAUGAAAAUGCUCCCCUCGCCCAUUGCUGAAUUUUCGCCGUAAUCUUUUCUUUUCGUUCACUUUUUUGAAACUAAAAAUGUUUUUCCUGUUAGGUUCGCCAUGUCUCAUUCCGGUCUAUUACAGCAGUAAGUUACACUCGUGUACAAAGGUGUGCAAGAUCACUUAAAGUGACUUUAUGAGAUGACUAAAGUGAAGGAUUAGCGGCUUGAAUCCGGUGGUCCAAAACUGAUACAGCUAUAAAUUGGGAAAAAUGUACCCAAUUGGUUUGAUCGUUCAACUUGACGGAUUGUGACAGGUAGCACGAGUGUAUGUGCACAGAUGAAGACCACCUAGUGCCAGUGGUCUUUAUCUGUGGUCAGGAUCAGCAACCCCAUCAGUUUCAAACAUUAGUUUGCUUGCAGUUGGGAUCAAGAUGAAAUGUGAAAAGGCCAUUUGUUAAGAGUUAUACAAUAUCAGCUGGGAGUCUGGUGGCUCCCAUAUACUGUUCACAAAUUAACAGAGGCAAGAACAAAUCCACUCAGAUAAUCAUCAUACUUGAGAAAGAAAUUUGUCAAAGUAAUGGAAACAAAGAAGGAUAAAAUGAAAACUGGAUGGAAAAGUUGUGAGAAGGUACGGCUGGUAAAAGUAGAUGACGAUGUUAUGCGGCAGUUACAUGUGGAAACUGAACCCAGAGUAGAAUCCGCUACCAGUAAACCAGCAGCCAACGGAACUUGAUCCACUCACUCCUGUACUGGCAUAAUUGUGGCACGUACUUGUAUUUCUGGGGGAGUCGAUAUCAAGGAAGAAAGCAGUGGCACACCCCAACCCAAAUCAUCAUUUACGCGCUUUUUCCCGAAACAAUCUGCUUAACUACCCGAUCACUGGACUCUCCGAGUUCCCCAAUGCAAAAUCCUCUUUCAGCGGAUGCCAAUCGGCCCAGUUGAUGCUCUUGGGCUUCAUAGCAUUUCUUCCUUGGGCUUACACGAAGAUGAACUUCCCGUCAUUCUUCUUUCAUAUUUUGCCUGUUUGCCAUGUAUUAAUGGAAAAGUGAACGAAUUGAAGAGAACGGCAGACUGAAGAGAGAAUCGUGAUUAUUAUCAUUCGCAGAUCUGCACAAUACAGAUUCGAAGGCUCUGAUUGAACGAGUUCCUCGUGUUCACAGGAUAUCCUUUGAAUGGUAACGAGACUAUCCAGCAAUUCAACGAUGGCUAAUCGCUCCGAUAAGCAUUAGAUUUAGAUAGACUGAACAUACCUUAACUCUGGAAGAAACCCUCGACUAACAGAGCAGAUACUUCGGCUUUCGCCAUCUACUCCGGAUGUGACGAUCCAUUCAAUUACGAGAUACGUGCAUCAUCAUGGACCACAUCCUACUUGCAACGGUGACGGUAUCGUUGGUACUUUCUUUAAAUUUUUAAGAAUACUGCUGGCAUUUAUGAUUGAAAUAGGUAGAACUUACGCGAAUUUUUUUUUUGUUUUUUAAGAUGACCUAUGAUUUGAUAUACUUUCAAGUGGAAGUGCAGUAGCUAGGUGAUCCGAUUAAAAAACGUGAAAAGCAUUAAUUUUCCAUCUUUUCCCUCGUUAGGUAAACUGAGUCAAACCAAAUUUGUGAAUUGACAAUUCUGUCAACUCAGUGUUUGUUGUUGUUGAAUCCUCAUAUGAAGGAAGGAGACUGAAAGCAGUGCAGGUGUGCAAGUGCGUCAUCAUAGACGCAGGUCAAUGACGCACGUCCUGUUUUAGUACACCAUUGUUUUUGGCAUUGUUUCAACAUGUUAGAUGGGAUAUAAAGGUGAACGAAACGCGAUAGCUAGCAAACAGAAGUGCGGGUAUGCAUAAGAUUCAAGCACAUUUGAUUUGAAACAUGGCUGCGUUAAAACCUUUUCACUCUUUUUUUUUAAAUAAAAUUGCAGACGAAUCGCUAUGGAAGUAUUAAUUAUACAGUUGGUUUCAAGCAAAUCAACUAUCACUCCAACAUGAAGUAAAAUCAAAUCCACAGUUAUGUAUUUUGCCAGCUGAACAACUAAAAAAUAGUCUAUUUUGACAAGGAAUCAGUUUAGUUCACCUUCUACAUGGUGACUAUUUCUUUUACUUCAAUAACUUAUUGAACCGUCCCAGCUGAUAGUUCGCAAGAAAACGAUGUGCUGGCCCUUUCGAUUUUUGUUAUUCAGAUUACAGACGUUUGGUUUCGAGUUAAAAACGUAUCUUGUAGUACUUUUAUGGUGUGAAACGGUUGUGUAGCUAACGAAUCGAGAAAUUGACAUUGGCGAACCUUCUUUCUCACGAAUCCCACCCAUUCCACUCCUCAGACACUUCAUUGAUAUGUCCAAAACAAAAAUGGGUCCAGAAGCAAUCCUUUUACAGCAGGAACACACAAAAUGAAUUUUGUUGUUCAAAUUCGAGUUUUUUUUUUGUUUUU
Molecule: unclassified non-coding RNA, 4557 nt
Filed under: Daphnia pulicaria
Lineage: Eukaryota; Metazoa; Arthropoda; Branchiopoda; Diplostraca; Daphniidae
Description: uncharacterized LOC124341413, transcript variant X1
Source: RNAcentral